UACGUAGGGGGCUAGCGUUAUCCGGAAUUACUGGGCGUAAAGGGUGCGUAGGUGGCUUCUUAAGUCAGAGGUGAAAGGCUACGGCUCAACCGUAGUAAGCCUUUGAAACUGGGAAACUUGAGUGCAGGAGAGGAGAGUGGAAUUCCUAGUGUAGCGGUGAAAUGCGUAGAUAUUAGGAGGAACACCAGUUGCGAAGGCGGCUCUCUGGACUGUAACUGACACUGAGGCACGAAAGCGUGGGGAGCAAACAGG
Molecule: ribosomal RNA, 252 nt
Filed under: uncultured bacterium
Lineage: Bacteria
Description: partial 16S ribosomal RNA
Rfam family: Bacterial small subunit ribosomal RNA
Source: RNAcentral